AGCAGCCGCGGUAAUUCCAGCUCCAAUAGCGUAUAUUAAAGUUGUUGCAGUUAAAAAAGCUCGUAGUUGAAUUUCGGGAUCAAUAUGCCGGUCAUGCCUUGGUAUGCACUGGUAUCUUUGAUUUCUCCCUUCUGACGAACUUUGAUGUCAUUUAAUUUGGUGUCAUAGGGAAUCAGGAC
This 179-nucleotide ribosomal RNA is filed under the name uncultured Glomus. Its description in RNAcentral is "partial 18S ribosomal RNA". It matches the Rfam family "Eukaryotic small subunit ribosomal RNA", at positions 569 to 749 of the family's 1831-position model. Lineage: Eukaryota; Fungi; Glomeromycota; Glomeromycetes; Glomerales; Glomeraceae. The record is from RNAcentral.